This 674-nucleotide small RNA is filed under the name Oryza sativa Japonica Group (Japanese rice). RNAcentral's name for it is "sRNA Os04g0417750". The record is from RNAcentral. Lineage: Eukaryota; Viridiplantae; Streptophyta; Magnoliopsida; Poales; Poaceae.
AAAUAGCGCCGUCCUUAGCUAUCACCAUUCGCCUUAGGCUUAAGAUGGUGGUGGUAGUGUUGUGGAAGCAGCCUGAGCAGUAACUUCUUGUCCGCCUGGUUGGACAUUUCACCGCUGGAUUAUUCCAUCUCGGGUAGCAGAUUUUGAGCAGCUCGUUCUUCUUCUCCUCGACUUGGCUAGUCGUACGUUGUUGUCGUUGUUGUUGUUGCAGGUAAUUCUCUCAUGUUGCCGGCCGGAUUCGUAUGAUGAGACGGCGUGCGCGGCGUGUGAUGGUUUGGUGCUCCGCCGGCCGCGGAGGUGAAUGAGCGGAGGAGCGGCGUCGUACGUCGACCUGGCGCCGCCGGUGCCGGGGGGAUAAGCUAGCCUCGGCAGCAGCAACACCCGCCAUUCUUCCUCCUUGAGGAUAGUAGCCGCCGCCGCCGCCGCCGUCCGUAGCACGCGACGUACGGCCGCCGGCUCCGACGACACCCUUCGCCGCGUGUCGAAAAGCCGCCGCCAUGCGGUUGAUUUCGCUCUCUGCGUACCCAGGUGUGGGCGUUUCGUGAUCUCUUCUCUAUUUUCGCCUGCCCUUUUUUGUCGAUCCUCAAACAUACCAGGAGUUUAGGUGGACAUAUGCAUGGUGACACCAUUUAGCUAUCCGAUUUGCACUAUUAAUAGAGAAUCAAUUACAAACU